GUUUAACAAGAUGUUUCUAGACUGGGAACCACCUCAGAAUGCAAUGCUCGUCUCAAGGAAUGUCCAGAGACAUGAAGCAACUGGUGGAAAUGAGGUAAGGAUCCAUUUCACUGACUCAAAAUGGAGUUAAGAUGGAUUUAUGCUUCUAUGAAGUGUCACCUGAUUUGACAUUAGAUUUCACUGGAUGGAUUUGCAAAUGACUUAGUCAAUAUACAUUUUGUUAUGCACGUCAUUGUCGACAUGCUGCACUUUAGCGUUUGGCCUUUCAUGCAUGUAUAAAGAUGCUAAACGUAACACUCGGUAGAGAAGCAUCAGUCCAUCUUGUUCCCGUGUCCUCCUCGUGCUGCUGAUGACAUUUAUUUGCUACUCUCGACCACAUGGAUGACGAUAACUCUCGACCCACCAGUUGAUUUAUCUGAGGCACAGACGAGAUGAUGCCUGCACAUUAAGAUUAUUGGUUUUGAUUGCUCAUGUUCUCUCUUGUUCCUGCAGGUGUGCUCACAAUGGUUGACUUGACCUUCAAAUGACAUCCAGAGCAGGUAAUGCACAUUUAUUAUUUGACCUAGUUGUCCUAAAAUAAACUGUGAAUGAUGAGCUUGUUUACAAAACAAUGGGAAUCUCUCUGAAUAAGAGUGAAAGAAGACUUUCUACUGAUGCAGUGCAGAUGAAGACAUGCCUGCAUUUAACAUAAUGUGCUUUUACUAAUGUGUGUUUCACCUGCAGGUCCUCUCUUCAUGGAUCCACUCCACACUUUCUUGGGCUCAGUACCAGGAACAUGAAGUGUUGGCAGUACGAGAAGUCUGGCAGGACAAACGUCCCAUGUGAAGAAAUGGAGACUUUGCUCUCUGAGCAUCGUCACAGCCUUGUGUCUAUGAAGUGUGAUGGUGAGAGCACGACGUCGUUGACAGUUUGA
This 913-nucleotide long non-coding RNA is filed under the name Cottoperca gobio. RNAcentral's name for it is "lncRNA (ENSCGOG00000006260.1)". The stretch from base 580 to 661 matches the Rfam family "Small nucleolar RNA SNORD79". Lineage: Eukaryota; Metazoa; Chordata; Actinopteri; Perciformes; Bovichtidae. The record is from RNAcentral.